UUAAGUUAUGUACAAUGGAAUUUAGUACCGGAAACCAAACACUGUAUCAGUAAUGCAAGAUUAUAUAAUCAUUAACAGAUAAAAGGCAUGUAAAUUGCAAACACAGUAUUCUCGACAUGAUUAUGUAUAUAUGUGUGUGUGUGUAUGUCGCUGAUAACGUUGGAGUAACUGGUAAAGUUGUUGUCAUGUGACCAGGAGGUCUCGGGUUUAAGCCUUUGAAAUAGCUGGUAGAAAUGUAAGGUAAGGUUGCAUACAAUACACCCUCGUGGUGGGGCCCUUCCCCGGACCCUGUGCAUAACAGAAGCUUUAAUGCACCGAGCUGCCUUUUUUUGGUGUCAUAUAGAGAAAGAGAGGAAG
Molecule: long non-coding RNA, 357 nt
Filed under: Capsicum annuum
Lineage: Eukaryota; Viridiplantae; Streptophyta; Magnoliopsida; Solanales; Solanaceae
Description: long non-coding RNA (CANN_LNC011198)
Source: RNAcentral